UACGUAGGGUCCGAGCGUGUCCGGAAUUAUUGGGCGUAAAGAGCUCGUAGGCGGUCUGUCGCGUCGGAUGUGAAAAUCAGGGCUCAACCCUGGACCUGCAUUCGAUAUGGGCAGACUAGAGUUCGGCAGGGGAGACUGGAAUUCCUGGUGUAGCGGUGAAAUGCGCAGAUAUCAGGAGGAACACCGGUGGCGAAGGCGGAUCUCUGGGCCGAUACUGACGCUGAGGAGCGAAAGCGUGGGGAGCGAACAGG
RNAcentral lists this ribosomal RNA (251 nucleotides) under uncultured bacterium. RNAcentral describes it as "partial 16S ribosomal RNA". It matches the Rfam family "Bacterial small subunit ribosomal RNA", at positions 524 to 776 of the family's 1533-position model. The record is from RNAcentral.